This 838-nucleotide ribosomal RNA is filed under the name Helotiales sp. RNAcentral describes it as "partial large subunit ribosomal RNA". It matches the Rfam family "Eukaryotic large subunit ribosomal RNA", at positions 79 to 934 of the family's 3401-position model. Lineage: Eukaryota; Fungi; Ascomycota; Leotiomycetes; Helotiales. The record is from RNAcentral.
CUCAGUAACGGCGAGUGAAGCGGUAACAGCUCAAAUUUGAAAUCUGGCUCUUUCAGGGUCCGAGUUGUAAUUUGUAGAAGAUGCUUCAGGUGUGGCUCCGGUCUAAGUUCCUUGGAACAGGACGUCAUAGAGGGUGAGAAUCCCGUAUGUGACUGGUUGCCUUCGCCUAUGUGAAGCUCUUUCGACGAGUCGAGUUGUUUGGGAAUGCAGCUCUAAAUGGGAGGUAAAUUUCUUCUAAAGCUAAAUAUUGGCCAGAGACCGAUAGCGCACAAGUAGAGUGAUCGAAAGAUGAAAAGCACUUUGGAAAGAGAGUUAAACAGUACGUGAAAUUGUUGAAAGGGAAGCGCUUGCAACCAGACUUGCCUGCCGUCGAUCAUCCUCCGUUCUCGGGGGUGCACUCGGCGGUGGUCAGGCCAGCAUCGGUUUCGGUGGUGGGAUAAAGACCUUGGGAAUGUAGCUCCUCUCGGGGAGUGUUAUAGCCCUCGGUGCAAUGCCGCCUACCGGGACCGAGGACCGCGCUUCGGCUAGGAUGCUGGCGUAAUGGUUGUAAGCGACCCGUCUUGAAACACGGACCAAGGAGUCUAACAUCUAUGCGAGUGUUUGGGUGUUAAACCCAUACGCGUAAUGAAAGUGAACGGAGGUGAGAACCCUUUAGGGUGCAUCAUCGACCGAUCCUGAUGUCUUCGGAUGGAUUUGAGUAAGAGCAUAGCUGUUGGGACCCGAAAGAUGGUGAACUAUGCCUAAAUAGGGUGAAGCCAGAGGAAACUCUGGUGGAGGCUCGCAGCGGUUCUGACGUGCAAAUCGAUCGUCAAAUUUGGGUAUAGGGGCGAAAGACUAA